This 253-nucleotide ribosomal RNA is filed under the name uncultured bacterium. RNAcentral describes it as "partial 16S ribosomal RNA". It matches the Rfam family "Bacterial small subunit ribosomal RNA", at positions 524 to 776 of the family's 1533-position model. The record is from RNAcentral.
UACAGAGGUCUCAAGCGUUGUUCGGAUUCAUUGGGCGUAAAGGGUGCGUAGGUGGCGCCGUAAGUCGGGUGUGAAAUUUCGGAGCUUAACUCCGAAACUGCAUUCGAUACUGCGGUGCUUGAGGACUGGAGAGGAGACUGGAAUUCAUGGUGUAGCAGUGAAAUGCGUAGAGAUCAUGAGGAAGACCAGUGGCGAAGGCGGGUCUCCGGACAGUUCCUGACACUGAGGCACGAAGGCCAGGGGAGCAAACGGG